This 914-nucleotide long non-coding RNA is filed under the name Gallus gallus (chicken). RNAcentral's name for it is "long non-coding RNA NONGGAT008727". The record is from RNAcentral. Lineage: Eukaryota; Metazoa; Chordata; Aves; Galliformes; Phasianidae.
CUGACUGCUAUGCUCUGGCAGAGAGAGAGAUGCACAUAAAAGAGGCAGGCUCCAAAACAGGCUUUCGGAUUGGAGACUCUACCACCCGGUAGUACUGGCCUUCCUGACCACCUUGGGUUGCAGCGUUAGAUGUGCUCUGAUCCUUGGAAACGGUGAGUGAUCCCUCUUUCAUGACCUGAAGGUGAUGUCUGCUUAGCUUGUUCUGUGUUCAACAGAUGGCAGCAGAGAACUGUGACCCUUCAAGCCUACUGAGGAUGUUCAAGGACACAGCAGGAACCCGCAGCCAUACGUGGAGACCAAGAUCAACUCAUUACUUUGUCUGUUGAGCUCUGUUGACCCUAAGAGGGAUCACUUACACUUUUCCAAGGACCAGUGCACAUCAAAAACUGCUACCUGAGGAGGUCAGGAAGGCCAGUACCAGCUGGUGGUGAAGUCUCCAAUCCUAGAAGGAAAGAAGAAACCCUCACAAGAGGUACUGAAUAAUGUGGGGAAGGGAAGAAUAGGGGUCAUUCUAGGAAGCCAAAGUCAUACACAGAAGUCAUCAGAAGCCUGUUUUGGAGCCUACCAAAACGUUUUUGGAGCCUACCAAAACAUCUUAUUUGGCAUCACCCUUGGUCAACACAUAGCAGUCUGUAUUUGGGUCACCGUAGCUCCAACGAGGCCUAGAUUGGCAGCCUGGAAAACAAAGGGAACAAAGAGAAACACAGCAUAACAUGAAGAAAUGAUAGUGAACCUGAAAAUUAAGAGAACAAACCGGUGUGCUGUCAGAACAGCAGAAGGCACAGAGAUCCCAUCAGAACUGGGGAGCCGUAGGAAUGGGCAAAGGAAGAACACCCGGUUGUUGGGGUGACAGGCGGGGUUAAGGGUGGUGCAAUGGGAGGGAGACCGGGUCAUGGGUUUCCUGGGCGGUCGCG